Molecule: long non-coding RNA, 2135 nt
Organism: Acinonyx jubatus (cheetah)
Lineage: Eukaryota; Metazoa; Chordata; Mammalia; Carnivora; Felidae
Exons: 3
Source: RefSeq, a predicted model, not a curated record
UCUCCAUCUCUCUCUCUCUCUCAAAAAUAAAUUAAUAAACAUUUAAAAAAAUAGAAAAUAAAGCAUAUAUCAAGUUGAUGUCUCUUAAAAUAAUUACAUUCUCAACCUUAAGCAUUAAACAUUUAAUAUUCUAAUUCAACCAGAGAUACUCAUUUAACAUUUGCAAAAUAUUUUGAAAGCCCUGGGUGAAAGUAACAAUUAACAGCGGCAUGGCUGUUCAGGGACAAUCAAAUAAAACAUUGAGGUCAGAACUGUAUCUGCCCAGGACUGGAUGGGGGUUUGCAAAAUUCCAGGUGUCCUGCACAGUCUUACUUCCUCCUGCCAGGGCAUGGGCAUUAACAGAGCCGACAGUAUUUUAUGUUUCUUCCAGCUAUAAUGUAUUCUGCACGAGCACAGUGCUGCGGACCGCGGAUAAAACAACAGGUAUAAAUCACAGCAUUCACCCUGAGGAGCAAAGCUUGAGAAGGUCCGCUCUCCUUGAAGGUUGUUUUAUUUCUGAUUGCUUAUUUUGUACGAUUUUUACUUUUUUUUUUUUUUAAUGUUCUGUUGAUGUUAUAGCAGCCAAUGGAAAUGAAGGCGAGUUACCCCGGAAGGAAGGUGUGCAGGGAGUUGGCAGUGUUGUGCCCAGAGCCACAGGUGCGUCCUCCAAAAGGCAAGUGAUGCCUGGCCCCCGAAGUGCGGCUUGGAGUGGAGCUAGGCCCGUGGGUCUGCCUCCUCUCCUCGCCCCCCCAAGCAGAGUCUGUUGGGCUUUAGUGACAGGAAGUCACAGUGGUGUCAUUUUCAGCUGGAGAGAGAGACAGAUGCACCCAGAUCAGUAUCACUGUCCCGGAUCAAUGACACAUUGUUGCCUCCCCAGGCUUUUUCAACCAUGGCGAACAACCGACUUUUUCAUUCUGUCUGAGGGUCUUCUUGGUCAACGUGGUGCAAAAAGGCUGCGUUAGCAGCAGGUUGAGAUUCCUGUAUUUGGCAACCUUCUUCCGAGAAACAUUAUUAUCAUUUUGGUCCAAAUCACACUGCUGGUUGGUGUCAGUGUCGUCUGUAGGUGAGCUGAUGACAGCAACCCCCUCCCGACCUCUCCUGACUGUAGAGAAGAGGGGACAGCCUGAGUGGUCUCCAUGAUGGUGAAGAAGCUUGCCAGCACCCCAGACCCUCUGUGAACACUUUCUUUUGUUUUUAAUGUUUAUUUAUUUUUGAGAGAGACAGAACAUGAGCGGAGGAGGGGCAGAGAGAGAGAGGGAGACACAGAAUCGGAAGCAGGCUCCAGGCUCCGAGCUGGCAGCACAGAGCCCGACAUGAGGCUCAAACUCACGGACCGUGAGAUCAUGACCUGAGCCGAAGUUGGAUGCUUCAGCGGCCAAGCCCCCCAGGUACCCCUCUGCGCGCACUUCCGAAGAGUUGCUGAACCAUUUCCCAGGUGAACAGGAUAAUUGGCCCACUUUCCCCUUGGCACCUGGGUGAACUUGGUUACACACCCUACAGAAACGCUUCCCUGGCUGUCCUGUCCUCACCGGGGGACUUCCUAGCAUACCAUGUGGCACUCAUAGGUGCACGUAGCAGGAGCAGGUCAGCAUAAGAGCGUGUCACGGUCCCUCUGAUGCCACAUUCUACACCUGGAGAUCACAUAAUGUCACUGAGAUCAUCCCAGGGCAGGAACGGCGGAGAGGGAACAUUUCUAAGUCCCGGGUCACUGCUGGCUCCACUCUACAUACUGAGCCAAAAAGCUAUGGUCACAAUGUGUCUAGAUUCAGGUAGAGAUGACAGGGGGCUCCUGGGGCGGGGAAGGGGGUGGGGAGCUGAGCCCCAGAGCCAAAAAUAGGCCUGCUUUUCUGAUGCAACUGGAAACUCUUCGGUCACUCAGAUGAUGUUCCUAAUAUGUAUCUUCUCAUUACCUGCCUCCACUGCUGACUUGUUUUGGUGAGGACAAAUUCAGAAGGCCAAAACUCCGCAGCAAACAUCGCGAGCCAGAGAAGGAUACACCGUGUGCCGUGUGAAUGGCGUGUAGUGCCAUUUCCCCUGGUAUCAUCACGGAGCACAGACGGCUAUUAUCACCAUGUUUCCAUUUUCCUACAAGACGUAGUUUUGGUAAGAGAAAACAGGCCAACAGUUUAUUUAGUAAGCGAUAAAAAUACAUUCUU